CUGGAUAUGAGACGUGUCACGGCAACAGUUACUUUAAGCCCUGCAGGUAGAUUGAACACGGGACAAAAGAGUCCUGUCUUGUGACUGAGUCGGCGUGCGUGUUUCUGCGCUCCCGCCUUUCACUCUCUCAGACAGUAAUCUCAGUGAAACUUCGACCUCCGAACCAAGAUGAGGAGGAGAGAGGGAGGCCCGGAGCAGUGCUGACCCAAACAGUGGCCCCAGCCUAUACCUUGUGGUCACACGGCUGACACUCCUCCAUGCGGGGUUGCCUAGCAACACUGUGCGGUCACGGCACCUGUGAUUGCGCUGCACUUGCAUUUGAUCACAUGGAGUUUGAACAGCUGAUACAGGCUCCCCAGCAUUACGCACUCCUGCCAUUGAGCGCCCGGCUCCCCAGCAUUACGCACUCCUGCCAUCGAGCGCCAGGCUCCCCAGCAUUUCGCACGCCUGCCAUUGAGCGCCAGGCUCACCAGCAUUACGCACUCCUGCCAUCGAGCGCCAGGCUCCCCAGCAAUACGCACUCCUGCCAUUGAGCGCCAGGCUCCCCAGCAAUACGCACUCCUGCCAUUGAGCGCCAGGCUCCCCAGCAAUACGCACUCCUGCCAUCGAGCGCCAGGCCAGCAUUACGCACACCUGCCUCCCCCCCAUCACGCACUUCAGCGAUUAUUGGACUCACUCACCUCUGUUAUUAACCUCCUAUAUCUGUCUGUUCCCCCGCUCUGUUCCCCGCUUCAGCAUUGCUUGUCAUAUGUCCUUGUAUACCCGUGUGCUGAUGUUAUUCCUGUCUUGUUUCAUGUCUGUUCAUUGUUAAAUAUUGACUCCCCGUACCUGCUUCUCAUCUCCGGCGUCAGUCUUGACAUGUUUCCAUACAUGUUUCAUUUUAAACAUUUUUCUUACAAAUGAGUUGUUUAAUCUAACCGCUUAACUAUUUAUCUACAUGGAAUUGUCUUUGGGAUUUUUUUACUCAUUUUUUACAGGAAAAUGCCACGGGCACUAUCUGAUGUGUGGAGACAUUUCACUGCAGCUAAUGUAGAAGGAAAAGCUGUGUACAUGGGCAAAUACUGUGCCAAAUCAUCUGUGAAGAAUGCAACAAAGAUGGAUAAUCAUCUGGCCAAGUGCAUAAAGUUCCCCCAGCGCUCACAACAAGCAACCUCUGGCAAAAGACCCUCUACUUCUAUUUAAGGUGAAAAUGGUGAAUCGGACACCUUAUCGAUAGCAACAGCUCAUGGUCCUGCUGGAAUCAGAAUUUGUUGACUCAAUGGAGGAACGUAGUCAGAGAAAUGCUGAUGAAUAUGUUGCUCAAGCUAUGUAUGCAACUGGUUUACCUCUGAUGUUCACAGGCAAUGUGUAUUGGGAGAGACUUCUGAAUGUUCUUCACCCAGCAUACACCCCUCCAACCAGACAUGCUUUUUCUACUCAUUUGCUAGAUGCAGAUUUCAAGCAAAGGUCAAGCAAAUCAUAGAGAAAGCAGACUGUAUUGCAAUCAUCUCUGAUGGGUGGAUCAAAUGUUUGUGGGCAAGGAAUAAUUAACUACAUCAUCUCCACCCCUCAACCAUUAUACUACAAAAGCACAGACACAGGGGACAACGGACACACCGGUCUCUACAUUGCAGAUAAGCUGUAGGCAGUCUUCAAUGACCUUGGCCCACAGAAGGUAUUUGCACUGGUGACCGAAACAAUGCUGCGAACAUGAAGGCUGCUUGGUCUGAAGUGGAGGAGUCCUACCCUCACAUCACACCCAUUGGCUGUGCUGCUCAUGCAUUGAAUUUGCUACUCAAGGACAUCAUGGCACUGAAAACAAUGGAUGCGCUCUACAAGAGAGCCAAUGAAAUGGUUAGGUAUGUGAAGGGCCAUCAAGGUAUAGCAGCAAUCUACCUCACCAAGCAAAGUGAGAAGAAUAAGAGCACCACAUUGAAGCUGCCCAGCAACACCCGUUGGGGGUGGGGUUGUCAUCAUGUUUGACAGUUCCCUGGAGGGAAAGGAGUCUCUCCAAGAAAUUGCCAUAUCACAGCCCCAUCAAGAGGAUCCUCCUGGAUUAUGUAUUUUGGGAGAAAGUGGUAAGCAGACUGAAACUCCUGAAACCUAUAACAGUAGCCAUUACACGGAUUGAAGGAGACAAUGCCAUCCCGUCUGACGUUCAGACUCUGCUUGCAGAUGUAAGAGAAGAAAUCAGUAACACCCUGCCCAUUUCACUGUUGCUCCAAGCAAAGAAAACUGCAGUUCUGAAAUACAUAAAGCGUGAAGACUUCUGCCUGAAGCCCGUACACACUGCAGCGUUCAUGUUGGACCCCAAGUAUGCUGGCAAGAGCGUCCUGUCUGGUGCAGAGAUCAACAAGGCCUAUGGUGUCAUCACUACCGUGUUUCGCCACCGUGGCCUGGAUGAGGGCAAGGUUCUUGCCACUUCCAAGCAACGGCUUUGGGAUGGAGAUGCAAUAUGGCAGUCGUGCCAACAUAUCUCAUCAGCCACCUGGUGGAAGGGACAUUGUGGGUCUGAGGCUCUUUCCCCUGCUGCCUCCAUCAUCCUGCAAAUCCCACCAACAUCAGCCGCCUCAGAGUGCAACUGGUCCUUGUUUGGGAACACACACACACACACCAAAGCCCGCAACAGGCUGACCAAUACAAGGGUUGAAAAAUCGGUGGCCAUCCGGGCAAAUUUGAGUCUUUUUGAGCCUGACAACGAGCCAUCCUCAACAAGGUUGGAAAGUGACAGUGAAGAUGAGGCCUCAGUCUGAUGUUCAAGAGGUGGACAUUAAGGAGGUCCAGGGAGAAGACAUGGAAGCCUGAGAGGAAGACAACCAAAGCUUUAGUUUCUAGUCUAUCAUUUUACAGAUGUUUGUUGAAAACGUUUUUGGGAGAUGCGAUGGAUCAUUCAAUAUUCCUUUUCUUUUGUUGUUUAGUGAAAUCAUCCCAUGUGAAGAGUCAACUCACUUAAUUAAAGUUCAAUUCGUAACUAAAUGUUUUUUUGUUCUAUUGAAAGGAUUUAAUCAUUUGCAAUUAUGUCUACUUAUGAUAAGGUAAAAGGUUUAUGUUUCUGUCUCCAUAUGAUAUGGUAACUAUAUCCAAUGCAAAAAACAUCUACAUUUAAAUAGUAUUAAUAUUAAUAAUAUUCCCAUUAAUUCCCAUAUAUUCCCGUUAAUUCCCACGGAAAGUUUCCACCUCUGAAUAUUCCUCAAAAUGUGCAAUCCUAUUCCCCACUCAUCUGAAACACAGAGAGAUGCUACAAGAAUGAACAUUAAAAAUGAGCAAGAUGGUGACAAAAGAAGGCACUAUAUCACUCCAUUAUAUGUCCUAAGCUUGUUUACAUGUUUGCUGGUUUAAAACAAGAGGUUAAGUGUAGAGUUGUUAAUUGCCAGCAGCUUUUCAGUGUUUUGAAUGCAGCUUUACCACAGCAAUCAAGU
This is a long non-coding RNA of Oncorhynchus nerka (sockeye salmon), 3398 nucleotides long. RefSeq lists it as uncharacterized. The transcript has 4 exons. Lineage: Eukaryota; Metazoa; Chordata; Actinopteri; Salmoniformes; Salmonidae. The record is from RefSeq and is a predicted model, not a curated record.